GGAAAUCGGCAGCCGAGCCUGCAGCUUGGGAGGGGCAGCGGGGAGGCGGGGGGAGGUCGGGGAGCGGCCGCCGGCGAGGGGAACGGUGAAGGCUCCGCUCUGCGCUUGAGCGUGUGCGUGCUGCUGCUGUGCAGGCCGCAGUGGAAAGCCGGGUGGUAGAAAGGAUGGACGCGGACUGUCCCGGGGCCCUUUCCGCCUGGCAUUUGACUCUUGCCCCUUCAAGAGUAUCGUGUUCCCCGUGGAAUUCACCUGGGUGCUGAUACCAGAGAAGAGAAAUGUUUUGGAAGCCUUGAGUCUUUUAGCCAUCACCGCUCUGUUUUUCUCUCAAAGCUCCGCUUGGAACUGAGGUGGAGAAAGAACGCUUUCAAAUCUGGAAUUGGAGAUGCCUCUUAUUAACGAAGUAACUCAGGAGAAAGUUUUUACCGGAAUCAUCCAGGAAGCCAAGUCCUUUCUUUGGCAGGAGCAAACUUCCUUAAAUUCCCUUUCCCCUGAGGAGAUGGAUCAGAAGUAAGAGCCUUAAGCAGAGUUUUUCAGUGAAAUGAUAGGAAUGUUCAAGGAAUUUUAAGUGACUUUAAAGUCAGCCCUCUUUUGAUUUUUUUUCUUUUCAUCUCAUUUACUGCAUUUCACUCAUUCAUUCGUCAUUAAACAAGCUUUUACUGAGGA
This is a long non-coding RNA of Galeopterus variegatus (Sunda flying lemur), 663 nucleotides long. RefSeq lists it as uncharacterized. The transcript has 2 exons. NCBI's taxonomy places the organism in Eukaryota, Metazoa, Chordata, Mammalia, Dermoptera, Cynocephalidae. The record is from RefSeq and is a predicted model, not a curated record.